CAAAGGUUUGGUCCUAGCUUUACUAUCAACUCUGACCUAAUUUACACAUGCAAGUCUCCGCACUCCUGUGAGAAUGCCCUUAUUGUCCUGCCUAGGAACUAAGGAGCAGGUAUCAGGCACGAUCAUCAGCCCAAUACACCUUGUUUUGCCACACCCCCACGGGUAAUCAGCAGUGAUAAACUUUUAGCUAUAAGUGAAAACUUGACUUAGUUAAGGUUAAAAGGGCCGGUAAACCUCGUGCCAGCCACCGCGGUUAAACGGGAGGCCCAAGUUGAAAGACAGCGGCGUAAAGCGUGGUUAAGGUACUAUAUUAAAUAGGGCCGAAUAGUCUCAAAGCAGUCAAAUCUAUUCGAGACCACGAAGCACAUCCACGAAGGUGGCCCUAACACCCCUGACCCCACGAAAGCCAUAACACAAACUGGGAUUAGAUACCCCACUAUGUAUGGCCGUCAAAAUUGAUGGUACUUCACUCGAACCAUCCGCCCGGGGACUACGAGCCCUAGCUUAAAACCCAAAGGACCUGGCGGUGCUUUAGAUCCCCCUAGAGGAGCCUGUCCUAUAACUGACAACCCCCGUUAAACCUCACCACCCCUUGUCAAUCCCGCCUAUAUACCACCGUCGUAAGCUUACCCUAUUGAAGGUUCAAAAGUAGGCUCUAAUAGUAAUACUAGAGACGUCAGGUCGAGGUGUAGCGUAUGGGGUGGGAAGAGAUGGGCUACAUUCCCUAAUGAAGAGAAUACGAACGGUAAUUUGAAAAAAUUACACUGAAGGAGGAUUUAGUAGUAAGGAAGGAGCAGAGUGCCCUACUGAAAAUGGCCCUAAAGCGCGUACAGACCGCCCGUCACUCUCUCCGAAACAAAUUCCUUUGUACAUAACACAUAAAAUAAAACAAGGUGAGAUAAGUCGUAACAUGGUAAGUGUACCGGAAGGUGUGCUUGGAUAAAU
RNAcentral lists this non-coding RNA (945 nucleotides) under Albatrossia pectoralis (giant grenadier). RNAcentral describes it as "12S ribosomal RNA". It matches the Rfam family "Bacterial small subunit ribosomal RNA". Lineage: Eukaryota; Metazoa; Chordata; Actinopteri; Gadiformes; Macrouridae. The record is from RNAcentral.